This 72-nucleotide transfer RNA is filed under the name Bos taurus (domestic cattle). It matches the Rfam family "tRNA". From Rfam's summary of the family: Transfer RNA (tRNA) molecules are approximately 80 nucleotides in length. Their secondary structure includes four short double-helical elements and three loops (D, anti-codon, and T loops). RNAcentral also lists the same sequence under 1 other name. Lineage: Eukaryota; Metazoa; Chordata; Mammalia; Artiodactyla; Bovidae. The record is from Rfam by way of RNAcentral.
UCCCUUGUGACUAAGCUGGUAAAGAAUCCGCCUGCAAUGCGGGAGACCUGGGUUCAAUCCCCGGGUCGGGAA